Molecule: non-coding RNA, 26 nt
Filed under: Homo sapiens (human)
Lineage: Eukaryota; Metazoa; Chordata; Mammalia; Primates; Hominidae
Source: RNAcentral
CUGGACUUGAAGGACAAGACCAAGGU